GUGCUUGCUUUGGCAGCACAUAUACUAAAAUUGGAACAAUGCAGAGAAGAUUAACAUGGCCCCUACACAAGGAUGACACGCAAAUUUGUGAAGCAUUCCAUAUUUUU
Molecule: small nuclear RNA, 107 nt
Filed under: Sciurus vulgaris (Eurasian red squirrel)
Lineage: Eukaryota; Metazoa; Chordata; Mammalia; Rodentia; Sciuridae
Source: RNAcentral